This 720-nucleotide ribosomal RNA is filed under the name Paraphelenchus acontioides. RNAcentral's name for it is "eukaryotic LSU rRNA". It matches the Rfam family "Eukaryotic large subunit ribosomal RNA", at positions 363 to 935 of the family's 3401-position model. Lineage: Eukaryota; Metazoa; Nematoda; Chromadorea; Rhabditida; Aphelenchidae. The record is from RNAcentral.
GUUGCAAAGCACUUUGAAGAGAGAGUUCAAGAGGACGUGAAACCGAUGAGAUCGAAACAGUGAGAGGCAACGAAAAUGCUUGUAUUCAACUGCCAUGCUGCGCACCAUUGGCUUUGCUAGUCCCGUAAGGGCUGGCGGGUUAACGGUUGUGCGGUAUUGCAGUGCAUUUGCAAGUAAUGUGCGCUGAGACGUAUGGAAAGGUUUCCUGAAUCGUGUUUAGAGGACUUCCUCGGAAGAACCCUGGCCGCGUGGAGGGAAAUUCUUUUUAUACGUAAUGGUCUGGCUAACGAAUAGCGCUGCUGUCGUUGCUGUCACUUACGUCUAUCGCAUGCGAUCGGCGUUUGUCGAUAGUUGCGGCAGUGGUGUUUUUCUCUGACUUUUUCUCAGUGUAAAAGUUGUUCAUCUCUCUGACCCGUCUUGAAACACGGACCAAGGAGUAUACAGUGUGUGCGAGUCAUUGGGUGUAAAACUCAAAGGCGUAAUGAAAGUAAAGAUGCCGUAAGGUAUUGAUAUGCGAUUCGAACACUUCGGUGAACGAAGCAGCAUAGCCCCGUCUUGAUCGCUUGCGAUAGGGCGGAGGAUGAGCACACGCUAUGUGACCCGAAAGAUGGUGAACUAUGCUUGAACAGGAUGAAGCCAGAGGAAACUCUGGUGGAAGUCCGAAGCGAUUCUGACGUGCAAAUCGAUCGUCUGAUUUGAGUAUAGGGGCGAAAGACUAAU